Molecule: long non-coding RNA, 208 nt
Filed under: Bos taurus (domestic cattle)
Lineage: Eukaryota; Metazoa; Chordata; Mammalia; Artiodactyla; Bovidae
Description: long non-coding RNA NONBTAT007314
Source: RNAcentral
GAAUUUGACUGGAAUAACUGAAGUAGACUGCGGUCAGAUUUUAUAUGCUGCCACUCACCUGCACUCCAGUGAUUUCUCACUUCCACCUCCGCAUUAUUUGAAGUAAAUGAAUGGAUGACUGAAUGGUAGUGGAUGAUAGGCUAUGAAACUCAUAUUAAAAGGCACUAUCUCAUUGAAAACCUAAAUAAAGAAUUACAGUGAUGUUUGC